Molecule: ribosomal RNA, 396 nt
Filed under: uncultured bacterium
Lineage: Bacteria
Description: bacterial SSU rRNA
Rfam family: Bacterial small subunit ribosomal RNA
Source: RNAcentral
GACGAACGCUGGCGGCGUGCUUAACACAUGCAAGUCGAGCGGUAAGGCCCUUCGGGUACGACGAGCGGCGAACGGGUGAGUAACACGUGGGUGACCUGCCCUUAGCUCUGGGAUAAGCCUGGGAAACUGGGUCUAAUACCGGAUAUGACCUCAUGACGCAUGUUGUGGGGUGGAAAGCCUUGUGCGGCUAGGGAUGGGCCCGCGGCCUAUCAGCUUGUUGGUGGGGUGAUGGCCACCAAGGCGACGACGGGUAGCCGGCCUGAGAGGGCGACCGGCCACACUGGGACUGAGACACGGCCCAGACUCCUACGGGAGGGCAGCAGUGGGGAAUCUUGCGCAAUGGGCGAAAGCCUGACGCAGCGACGCCGCGUGAGGGAUGACGGCCUCGGUUGUAAC